UACGUAGGAUGCAAGCGUUGUCCGGAUUUACUGGGCGUAAAGGGCGCGUAGGCGGCCAGCACAAGUCAGUUGUGAAAUCUCCGAGCUUAACUCGGAAAGGUCAACUGAUACUGUGCGGCUAGAGUGCGGAAGGGGCAACUGGAAUUCUUGGUGUAGCGGUGAAAUGCGUAGAUAUCAAGAGGAACACCUGCGGCGAAGGCGGGUUGCUGGGCCGACACUGACGCUGAUGCGCGAAAGCUAGGGGAGCGAACGGG
This 254-nucleotide ribosomal RNA is filed under the name uncultured bacterium. RNAcentral's name for it is "partial 16S ribosomal RNA". It matches the Rfam family "Bacterial small subunit ribosomal RNA", at positions 524 to 776 of the family's 1533-position model. The record is from RNAcentral.